UACUCUAUCCAGAGUGGACGAGGGACACGGCCCGAAGACUCCACGGCAACCCGUCGUUUAGUCUCUUUUAUAAAGACCCAACGACACGGUGCUCCAUCCGCCCCGGCCUUUUAGGCUCGUGGGAAAGAUAAUUA
Molecule: non-coding RNA, 134 nt
Filed under: Candidatus Peregrinibacteria bacterium
Lineage: Bacteria; Candidatus Peregrinibacteriota
Description: Peregrinibacteria bacterium SAM-I sequence
Rfam family: SAM riboswitch aptamer (S box leader)
About the family: The SAM riboswitch is found upstream of a number of genes which code for proteins involved in methionine or cysteine biosynthesis in Gram-positive bacteria. The SAM riboswitch acts at the level of transcription termination control.
Source: RNAcentral